Molecule: long non-coding RNA, 177 nt
Filed under: Ictidomys tridecemlineatus (thirteen-lined ground squirrel)
Lineage: Eukaryota; Metazoa; Chordata; Mammalia; Rodentia; Sciuridae
Description: lncRNA (ENSSTOG00000033335.1)
Source: RNAcentral
ACUGGAAAGAGUUGGGAACAACUAUCAUCAGCAGAGGACACAAGGACCAGACACUCUUCACCUUGGCACCAAGAAAGUGAGAAGGUGGUUGACCUAUGGCUACUGUUUGUCUGCAGAAAGCUUGUUUCAUUGAUGCCAACAGAGAAGUGAAAGUCUUUAAAACCAGCAUCUUUGUGC